UUAAAAGUAGAAAAUUUAUUUCAUUAUUUUGCAAAUAAUUAUUGUUUUCAAA
RNAcentral lists this transfer RNA (52 nucleotides) under Agamermis sp. BH-2006. RNAcentral's name for it is "tRNA-Ala". Lineage: Eukaryota; Metazoa; Nematoda; Enoplea; Mermithida; Mermithidae. The record is from RNAcentral.